RNAcentral lists this ribosomal RNA (274 nucleotides) under uncultured bacterium. RNAcentral describes it as "partial 16S ribosomal RNA". It matches the Rfam family "Archaeal small subunit ribosomal RNA", at positions 473 to 747 of the family's 1478-position model. The record is from RNAcentral.
AAACCAGCACCUCAAGUGGUCAGGAGGAUUAUUGGGCCUAAAGCAUCCGUAGCCUGCUGCAUAAGUUUUCGGUUAAAUCCAUACGCUCAACGUAUGGGCUGCCGGGAAUACUGUGCAGCUAGGGAGUGGGAGAGGUAGACGGUACUCGGUAGGAAGGGGUAAAAUCCUUUGAUCUAUUGAUGACCACCUGUGGCGAAGGCGGUCUACCAGAACACGUUCGACGGUGAGGGAUGAAAGCUGGGGGAGCAAACCGGAUUAGAAACCCCAGUAGUCC